GAUGAACGCUGGCGGCGUGCCUAAUACAUGCAAGUCGAGCGAACGGACGAGAAGCUUGCUUCUCUGAUGUUAGCGGCGGACGGGUGAGUAACACGUGGAUAACCUACCUAUAAGACUGGGAUAACUUCGGGAAACCGGAGCUAAUACCGGAUAAUCUUUUGAACCGCAGGGUUCAAAAGUGAAAGACGGUCGUGCUGGCACUUAUAGAUGGAUCCGCGCUGCAUUAGCUAGUUGGUAAGGUAACGGCUUACCAAGGCAACGAGGCAUAGCCGACCGGUGAGGCGGAUCGGCCACACUGGAACUUAGCCACGGUCCAGACGCCUACGGGAGGCCGCAGUAUGGAAUCUUCCGCAAUGGGCGAAAGCCUUACGCAGCGACGCCGCGUGAGUGAUGAAGGUCUUCGGAUCGUAAAGCUCUGUUAUUGGUGAAGAACAUAUUUGUACGUAGCUGUGCACAUCUUGACGGUACCUAAUCAGAAAGCCCCGGCUAACUACGUG
RNAcentral lists this ribosomal RNA (497 nucleotides) under uncultured bacterium. Its description in RNAcentral is "partial 16S ribosomal RNA". It matches the Rfam family "Bacterial small subunit ribosomal RNA", at positions 28 to 507 of the family's 1533-position model. The record is from RNAcentral.